UGCCAUGUGGAAGGAGGCCUCGUGG
This 25-nucleotide non-coding RNA is filed under the name Mus musculus (house mouse). The record is from RNAcentral. Lineage: Eukaryota; Metazoa; Chordata; Mammalia; Rodentia; Muridae.